GACGAACGCUGGCGGCGUGCCUAAUACAUGCAAGUUGAGCGCUGAAGGUUGGUACUUGUACCGACUGGAUGAGCAGCGAACGGGUGAGUAACGCGUGGGGAAUCUGCCUUUGAGCGGGGGACAACAUUUGGAAACGAAUGCUAAUACCGCAUAAAAACUUUAAACACAAGUUUUAAGUUUGAAAGAUGCAAUUGCAUCACUCAAAGAUGAUCCCGCGUUGUAUUAGCUAGUUGGUGAGGUAAAGGCUCACCAAGGCGAUGAUACAUAGCCGACCUGAGAGGGUGAUCGGCCACAUUGGGACUGAGACACGGCCCAAACUCCUACGGGAGGCAGCAGUAGGGAAUCUUCGGCAAUGGACGAAAGUCUGACCGAGCAACGCCGCGUGAGUGAAGAAGGUUUUCGGAUCGUAAAACUCUGUUGGUAGAGAAGAACGUUGGUGAGAGUGGAAAGCUCAUCAAGUGACGGUAACUACCCAGAAAGGGACGGCUAACUACGUG
Molecule: ribosomal RNA, 497 nt
Filed under: uncultured bacterium
Lineage: Bacteria
Also listed under: 1 other name
Description: partial 16S ribosomal RNA
Rfam family: Bacterial small subunit ribosomal RNA
Source: RNAcentral